This 468-nucleotide ribosomal RNA is filed under the name uncultured bacterium. Its description in RNAcentral is "partial 16S ribosomal RNA". It matches the Rfam family "Bacterial small subunit ribosomal RNA", at positions 28 to 507 of the family's 1533-position model. The record is from RNAcentral.
GACGAACGCUGGCGGCGUGCUUAACACAUGCAAGUCGAACGGAAAGGCCCUGCUUUUGUGGGGUGCUCGAGUGGCGAACGGGUGAGUAACACGUGAGUAACCUGCCCUUGACUUUGGGAUAACUUCAGGAAACUGGGGCUAAUACCGGAUAGGAGCUCCCGCUGCAUGGUGGGGGUUGGAAAGUUUCGGCGGUCGGGGAUGGACUCGCGGCUUAUCAGCUUGUUGGUGGGGUAGUGGCUUACCAAGGCUUUGACGGGUAGCCGGCCUGAGAGGGUGACCGGCCACAAUGGGACUGAGAUAGGGCCCAGACUCCUACGGGGGGCAGCGGGGGGGAAUAUUGCACAGUGAGCCGACGCCUGUUACGGAGACGCCGCGUGCGGAAAGACGGCCUUCGGGUUAUGAACCGCUUUCGCCUGUGACGAAGCGUGAGUGACGGUAAUGAGUGAAGAAGCACCGGCUAACUACGUG